UGAACAAGCGGGCCUCGAUCCCGCGACCAAUUAAUUAACAGCUAAUUGCCUAAACCAGCGGGCUUUAGUUCGC
This 73-nucleotide transfer RNA is filed under the name Anolis whitemani. RNAcentral describes it as "tRNA-Asx". The record is from RNAcentral. Lineage: Eukaryota; Metazoa; Chordata; Lepidosauria; Squamata; Anolidae.